RNAcentral lists this ribosomal RNA (253 nucleotides) under uncultured bacterium. RNAcentral's name for it is "partial 16S ribosomal RNA". It matches the Rfam family "Bacterial small subunit ribosomal RNA", at positions 524 to 776 of the family's 1533-position model. The record is from RNAcentral.
UACGUAGGGCGCAAGCGUUGUCCGGAAUUAUUGGGCGUAAAGAGCUCGUAGGCGUCUUGUCACGUCGGGUGUGAAAGCCCGGGGCUUAACCCCGGGUCUGCAUUCGAUACGGGCUAGCUAGAGUGUGGUAGGGGAGAUCGGAAUUCCUGGUGUAGCGGUGAAAUGCGCAGAUAUCAGGAGGAACACCGGUGGCGAAGGCGGAUCUCUGGGCCAUUACUGACGCUGAGGAGCGAAAGCGUGGGGAGCGAACAGG